UNGAAUUCAUGCAUCACUGUGUGAAUCUUGC
Molecule: non-coding RNA, 31 nt
Filed under: Mus musculus (house mouse)
Lineage: Eukaryota; Metazoa; Chordata; Mammalia; Rodentia; Muridae
Source: RNAcentral